Long non-coding RNA from Lagopus muta (rock ptarmigan), 555 nucleotides. RefSeq lists it as uncharacterized. NCBI's taxonomy places the organism in Eukaryota, Metazoa, Chordata, Aves, Galliformes, Phasianidae. The record is from RefSeq and is a predicted model, not a curated record. The transcript is spliced from 3 exons.
AUUUUCCUCUGGUCAGAAGAGAAAUACAGGAACUAGAGCAAGCAUUGAAUCCCAGCACACAGGUUCAGAUGUAGUUUUUGUCUCUUCUCCCCCACUAGUUUGAGAAUAUUUGCACCUGGAGUCACCUAAUAGAAAAACAAAGAGGGAAGCUGUGAAAUAAAGAUAAGAGUUAGGGGUUAGAUUCAGAGCUAUCAGUGUAUUUAGAUGUGAGUAUAUAGAGUGGGGAGCUGUGUUGCUUAUGCCAUUUUCAAGAUGAAAGAAAAAAAAGAGGGAAGAGAAAAUGAAAAAAAGGAUAGUGAAGGAGAAAAACCAAGAAAAUAUAUCUUACAGUAUCGUGAAGACUGCAAGGUAUCAAUGACUAUCAUCCAUCUUUAUCUGAGCUGGUUCAAAAGGCACGUCUCUUCUCUACUGAAGGUGUCAGCAGACUAGAGGAGGUAUUGUGAAAUAUUUCCAAAGCCAAGUGGAGCAGAGAUGAAAGGUGGGCAAGUUCACAAAAAUUUUGGAUCAUAUUUCUCACUGGAGCUGAGCAGCUGAGAUCUGGCCAUUACAGUUGAA